RNAcentral lists this ribosomal RNA (253 nucleotides) under uncultured bacterium. Its description in RNAcentral is "partial 16S ribosomal RNA". It matches the Rfam family "Bacterial small subunit ribosomal RNA", at positions 524 to 776 of the family's 1533-position model. The record is from RNAcentral.
UACGUAGGGGGUAAGCGUUGUCCGGAUUUAUUGGGCGUAAAGAGCGUGUAGGCGGCCAUACAGGUCAGCUGUGAAAACUCGAGGCUCAACCUCGAGACGUCGGUUGAAACCGUAUGGCUAGAGUCCGGAAGAGGAGAGUGGAAUUCCCGGUGUAGCGGUGAAAUGCGCAGAUAUCGGGAAGAACACCCGUGGCGAAGGCGGCCCUCUGGGACGGUACUGACGCUGAGACGCGAAAGCGUGGGGAGCGAACAGG